Molecule: ribosomal RNA, 452 nt
Filed under: uncultured bacterium
Lineage: Bacteria
Description: bacterial SSU rRNA
Rfam family: Bacterial small subunit ribosomal RNA
Source: RNAcentral
GUCGAACGGUAACAGCACUUCGGUGGCUGACGAGUGGCGGACGGGUGAGUAAUACAUCGGAACGUGCCCGAUCGUGGGGGAUAACUACUCGAAAGAGUGGCUAAUACCGCAUACGAUCUACGGAUGAAAGCGGGGGAUCGCAAGACCUCGCGCGGACGGAGCGGCCGAUGGCAGAUUAGGUAGUUGGUGGGAUAAAAGCUUACCAAGCCGACGAUCUGUAGCUGGUCUGAGAGGACGACCAGCCACACUGGGACUGAGACACGGCCCAGACUCCUACGGGAGGCAGCAGUGGGGAAUUUUGGACAAUGGGGGAAACCCUGAUCCAGCCAUGCCGCGUGCAGGAUGAAGGCCUUCGGGUUGUAAACUGCUUUUGUACGGAACGAAAAGACUCUUUCUAAUACAGAGGGUCCAUGACGGUACCGUAAGAAUAAGCACCGGCUAACUACGUGCCA